AAGUUUAGGAUAAUUUAAACCAAGGGCCUUCAAAGCCNUAAACAGAAGGGCCCCUUCUAACUUCUG
Molecule: transfer RNA, 66 nt
Filed under: Phelsuma laticauda (broad-tailed day gecko)
Lineage: Eukaryota; Metazoa; Chordata; Lepidosauria; Squamata; Gekkonidae
Description: tRNA-Trp
Source: RNAcentral